RNAcentral lists this ribosomal RNA (253 nucleotides) under uncultured bacterium. RNAcentral describes it as "partial 16S ribosomal RNA". It matches the Rfam family "Bacterial small subunit ribosomal RNA", at positions 524 to 776 of the family's 1533-position model. The record is from RNAcentral.
UACGAAGGGGGCUAGCGUUAUUCGGAAUAACUGGGCGUAAAGCGCACGUAGGCGUACUUGUAAGUUGGGGGUGAAAGCCUAGGGCUCAACCCUGGAACUGCCUCCGAUACUGCAAGUCUCGAGUCCGGGAGAGGUGAGUGGAAUUCCUAGUGUAGAGGUGAAAUUCGUAGAUAUUAGGAAGAACACCAGUGGCGAAGGCGGCUCACUGGCCCGGUACUGACGCUGAGGUGCGAAAGCGUAGGGAGCAAACAGG